AUGCCAAAAUGAAAAAAAAAGAAUGCAAAAUAGUUCAAUUUAAAUUUUAAUUAAUUCUUUAUUCGGAGUGCUCGAGUCUUAUUGAAAUCAACGAUCUAAAAAAUUCACGAGUCUCGCUUGAAAAUACAUCACACGCAAGACUUUUGAGAGUGGAAGCAUCUGAUCCACUUGCAGCGAAAGGAAAGUACAAUCCACUCUUAACAGUGAAACUUUUCGGUGUUUGAGAAUCUAAUUGAAGGAGCAAAUCUCGGUUUAGGCCAUUGAUUGGAUUGAUUACUUUUUGGUGGCUGCGCUUUAAUCUCAAACUUAGGGGCCAAGUUAAGGGUAGGAUUGUAAUUGAACAGUAAAAGGGAAUAAACAAUUAAACAUGCAUGUGCCUGCAGGGAGUGUUUUCAAACUGAUCAAUUUUUAUGACUCACUGUUGGGGUUUGACUUUAAUCUCGAGCCUUCCCUUCCUCGACACUCAAUUAAGCUUAAUUUUUAAUUUCCUUUUAGGCCUUCGGAGGAAUCUCACAUACCUUUGCUUGAUUUUUCAUCCAACAGCUGCUUGAUUGCGGAUCAGAGAGUUAGGAUAGUUAAAUAAACAUGAUAAAUCUUUUUUUCUUUUUUUAAUUUCUUAAGUUUUGCCAUUUUCCUUUCAAAAUCUCGUUUGUGUUGAUUUCAAGUUUUUUUUUUUAAUUGAGUUUCAUAAUUAGUAUUUUUCAAUCACUUUAUUUUUAGAAUAAUGAUAUAGCCACAAAUUAUUAUAUAAAUUUAUUUUAUACAAACUGAUAUAACAUUAAUUCAUUGGUUGAAUUAAAUAUCUCUUGGCCCACAUGAUUUAUUUUUAUUAUUUUAUAUUUUCAUUCAACUAAUAAAUUAAUACCACAUCAGUUUAUACAAGAUAAAUUUAUAUAAGAAUUUGUGGUUGUAUCAUCACUCUUAUUUUUAACCAAUAAGUAAACAAAAUAAGAGAAAGUCGAUUAUAUUUUUUUAGAGUAUUUGAUUUCUGACUUUUUAUUUUUAAGCAAACAUGGAUUUUUAACACGUUUUACAACGUUUAGUUUGGAUAGAUAAAACUAUAAAUGUCUUCCAAAACAAUGUUUGUAAUUUUUUUUGGAAAAAUAUUUUUCAUGAAAAAGUAUAAGCUACAUAUUUUUCUCAGGUGGCAUUUUCUUGUGUUUCUAUUUUCGAUGGCUGUUUUUAUAAAAAAAAUAAAAAUCAAAGUUGUUAACAAUUAAUGCUAAUUUGACAUCGCUCAAUUUGUAUUAAAUAACAAUUAAUGCUAAUUUGACAUCGCUCAAUUCGUAUUAAAUUACUCAUUUUCAAUUGAGAUUUGGAAUUCAUACAUAACGAAAUAUACUAAUUAAUAGACUUAAAAUUUAUGAAAUUGACUCAAUAGAUGAAUAUCUUCUCGCUGUUUGGAAUAAAAAUGUCAAGAGUAAAAUAUAAAAAAGUAUGUCAAGAGUACAAUAUAAAAAAGUUUAACAUUACGUAUAAAAUUCACUAUUUUCAAAUCAAUUUAAAAUAUUUAAGUGUGAAUAGGAUUUUGUUGGGUGACCUCUAGUACCGAAUUGAACGAUCCAUUUUGACAAAUACAUUGUUGCAUUGAUGAAUCUAAGGGACCACAUGUAAUAGAGUCUUCAUUAAUGCAUUUACUAAAUAUAAUUCAAGUAAAUACUAAAUAUUAUUAAUGAAAAACAAAGUAAUUUUAAAUCAAAUCAAAAGAAAAUUACCGAAAGCACCGUCGUUUGCGUUCAUUCCACCUUUUUUCCACUCAAUUACUUCUUUCAAAGUUGAUGGCUUCGAUGGCUUCCGCCGAACAAUUUAAGAAACCUUUGACUGAAGACCAUAAAGUUCAAAUGCAAUUGGCUGAGAUCACCAAAACCAGCUGUGCUGAAGACCACCUACUCUUUGCCUCUCAGGUCCUUCCCAUGCAGAGAAUAACUCGAGCCCUACUUUUCUACAUUCUUACAUGACACGCGUCUUUAUUCGCAAUUCCAAAUGCCCUGCCGCCGUGAAAAAAAAAAAACAUUACAUCCACCUUUUUCCCGUGAGCAUGAUAACAAGUGUAGAAACUGAUACAUACGAACAAGAACUCUCGCGUAGCAGCCCGACUUUAAUUGGAUCUACUACUGAUGGCCGUCAGCGUUCCCUUGUCCAUGACCAUGCCACGCUAGAUCAGUAUAAAAACAAAGCUUCGGCUUUCCCCACGCGUCAUGCCAGCUGCAACUGCCAUGGAGUCCGUGUUGCGAACAUGUCGGACUUCGUGGGUCCCUCCAUUUUCUCUACCCGUCCCGCACUUAAUUCUGUUUAUUAUUGUUUUUGGUGGGAACCAC
RNAcentral lists this long non-coding RNA (2318 nucleotides) under Citrus maxima (pomelo). Its description in RNAcentral is "long non-coding RNA (CMAX_LNC002799)". Lineage: Eukaryota; Viridiplantae; Streptophyta; Magnoliopsida; Sapindales; Rutaceae. The record is from RNAcentral.